This 1458-nucleotide unclassified non-coding RNA is filed under the name Hevea brasiliensis (rubber tree). The record is from RNAcentral. Lineage: Eukaryota; Viridiplantae; Streptophyta; Magnoliopsida; Malpighiales; Euphorbiaceae.
AUGGCACUGUUCAUUUAAAUCCGGUGCUGCAGCUGAUCGCCUACCACGAGCAAAAUCGCCAUAGGGGAGGAGAGAGAAAGGACCGGUAUCCACAGGGAACUCAACUAGAGGUAGCGAGGGCCACCGAAAACAAUAGACGAAGCCCAUUCUCGGCAUAGACCCGAGCCUCCGGAACUCGAAGAGAUAGAACUCAAAACAUAGCGUCGGGAGGAUUAACCAGAAGAAACUCAUGGUGACAGCUUCUCAGUAUAUUAUUGUCUUUGAGGUCUGCCACUAAAGUCAGAGCCGGCACAAAGACCCUGGAGAAGUCACCAUCAAGCCUUCAAUAUAACUCUCUCACUGGAACCAAUACACAACCACCUGAGGCAACAAUACAAAUGUAGCAGUAAUAUAGUGCAGAUCGUCCAAGAAACCAAUCUGUCCAUGGUCCCAUGAGCUGAUAACCCAAAAGAAACCAUAGCCAAAAAAAAAUUUAUAUACAGCACAUCCAGGAUGGGAGGGUGAAAACCCAUAACCAGACCCAGAGAGGAGCUUCCCUUGCCUGCUAGGUAGAGAAAACCUAGGAAAAAAUCCUGGGGAGAACCGUAACAGAGAAUUUUCUCUCUAGAAAAAAAAAACUAGAAAGAGAAAAUUUUAUAUUCUGUUGAAUAGAAUAUAGCAUGACAAACACUUUUUUCAUGAAUUAUAUCCAGAUACUUAAUACAUUGAAUUUGUAACAAGCCCGAUUUAGCAACUGAAUUUGACAACCAACGUAAGGAAAAGUUAAUGAAUGUAUUUCUUUUUGCGUCGGUAAUAAUAAAUAAAUGAUAAACUUUUAACUCCAUUUGCAAAUGGAAUAAAUAUAUAUGCCUGCGUAACUAGCCUGAUUCACCUCUACAUUUCCCUAAAUUUCUGUUUAAUCCUCUAUCUAAACAAAAAAUUGGGCGAGUAUUUUUUGUAUCACAUGAGAAAACUCAAGAAUUCCCUGAUGGCAACUUCUACAGUCCCUUGUUUGGUCAAAAGCUGCUGAAUGCAGGCACCCGUGCCAACCAAUCUUUCUAGGAAAAAUGGGUGUCAAAUAAUUCACAACACCAGCCAGGCGUCAAUUCUUAUAGCCCCUAUCUUUGCGAUGCAGCCCCGAGAUUUGAUUUUAUUCUCUUGUCAAAUUUCAGGCUGCUCAAUAGCUCAUGAGACUUGUUACAAACACAACCAGGAAAAGGAUUUGCAUAGAAGUUCUCUUCCAGCCUCGGUGACUCUCCUGCUUGCCUAAGAUAAGGAGAUCCAAUCCUGUUUGAAUGUAAACUCUUUACCUUUGCAGAGAAUUCUUCCCAAGAUAUUGAACCCUCAUCCAACUGAUCAAUCAGUGUAACAAAAUUUUGUCUGAAACAAAGUAACUUUUUUCAGUUAGAUUAAUUUCAAAAAGACACUACUUCCAGGAUAAAAGAAAACUAAACUAAGAAUAACAACAGGAUAUUUUAU